This 2338-nucleotide long non-coding RNA is filed under the name Nicotiana benthamiana. Its description in RNAcentral is "long non-coding RNA (NBEN_LNC040652)". Lineage: Eukaryota; Viridiplantae; Streptophyta; Magnoliopsida; Solanales; Solanaceae. The record is from RNAcentral.
UUAAACUAAUCCAAACACCCCUCUUGUCUCUCAUCUUCUCCAACUCAGAUUGAAUAAACCCUAGCGGCGCCUACAGUUCUCCGCCAUUGUAGCCGGCGGCGCCACUUCCAAACCACCACAAAUUCCAGCCACAAUACCCCCAUGACUUCCCCUCUCCAAUUCCACUAUAAAUAACCCUCGAAUCAUCACAAAGGGAGCCAAUAUUAGAUUUAGAAAAGGCAGAAAAAAUGACAACCGAAAAUCUAAAUUUCUUCAAGUUUACAUGGCCGAUUAGGGUCUAAAUUAUUGUUUUUCAUUGGUUUUUGACAAGAACCUACGACGAACACCAAUUUUGGCUAGAAAUUGAAAUGACAAAUAUUCUCCACCAUGCUCUUUCAUGUCUUCUGUUAGGUACUCUCCUUUGUUUUUCUUUUUCCAUUCUUUUACUCUUUUUCUCACCUUCAUCUUUUUCUGUCCUCCUCUUUCCUUUUUCUUUUUUGUUAACAUAUUUUUGAUUACAUGAUUUGAUUUUUUAGCAAGUUUCUAUUGUUUAGUUUUGGUUCUUGUUAUUUAGUGUUAAUUAGUCCUUUUUCUUUCUCUUUUAUUUUUGUUUCAUUUCAAAGGACUUCUGAUUUUUCUUGGGUUGUUUCCGGUUUAAAUUAUAUAAUUUGACUUGGGUUCUGAAAUCAGAAUCCCAAAAAGGGAUUCAACCAGGGUUUUGCAGACCCAUGACAAUUUAACCUUUGGUCAACAUUGACCCAUUUGGUUCACUAAAGUAAAAACAGGAGUUCUAAGGGUUAGAUUAGAAAAUUUAGGUUAGGGAAUAUUUAAUAACUAACUUGGGAAGCUUCCUAGAAGGUGAAGAUUGUGUAUGAUUUUCAAAAACUUAUUUUAAACUAAGGACCAAGUAGCAAAAAUGAAAUUUUCAAAGGAUCAAAGGGCAAUAAACUGACCCAUUCCUGUUGCCCUAAGGCUUGCCUAUAAAGGCAUUGUAACCUCAUUCUCAAGUCAGAUUUUUGAAGAAUUACAAAACUAGAGAAGCUUUUCCAAAUGGCUGAGCUAAAAGAACUCAAAUAUUCUUGCAUUUUUAGUAGAAAUUGAUCCAAUUCUGUGACUAAUCUUUCAAUUCCGAAACCUUCAAAGGAUUUCUAUCUUAUUCUGGGAUUCAAGAUGGUUUAAAGGCUGUUUGAUCACUAUUCCAUUGCUGAUUUUUUGAGCUAAUUCUGUUGUUGCUUCCCUUUUGUUGAAUUACUACUGCUGCUGCUUCAUAACUUCAGGCUUUUGUUGUUGUUUACUUGUUGUCCUCAGUUACACAUCUCUGAUUCUGAAUAUAUAGGAUUGGCUCAUUUGACUUGAAGGAAUGAAGAUCUCCUCAUAUACUUGAUGCUUUUCAUUUGUCUUUUGUUUCAAUUUGUUAAUUCAUUUUCAUGUUUUAGCGUGCCAAAAAUGAUAUCAUGCUAUGAGAAUUCGAGACUUAUGAUAAAAGUUGUAUUUGGAUUCUUAUUUGUGCUGGUAAUUUCGAUUUGUUUCGAAUCAUUUCUCCUAAAUGUGGAUAGUUGUACUGUCGUGUAUGAGAUCCAUGUGAGAUAGUUAGUACUACUAUUAGGUCUUUUCUUUUGAAUCGGACGUUGUAGUCUUAGUGUUGCUCGAUUUUAUUUUAUUUUGUUUCACAAAUGACUAAGUAAUGGAUUUGGUCUAUUUUGAGUUCAUGUUGAAGGAUUUACCCUUCUCUUCUUGAAAUAUAUAGUUGUAACAAUUUGACUUAUUUUGGAACAUAGAAAAGGCUUAGGAUUCUAUUGCUAGCAUUGAGUUUGAGUCAUGUGGAGAAUUAUUUUUUUUUAAAAACUUUCAUUCGACUUUGUUCACGUUGAUACUGAUUUUCAAACUUAUGAUUUAAUCACGAAAAUUUUGUCGAUUUGCUGUUCCUUACAAAAGUUUUGCUUAGCAUUUUAUUUUUGGAUUAAUAUAUGUUGAGUAGUAAGUGGAUGGUCUGGGUCUCAAUGUUGAUUGAUGGGUUACAAACAAAGCUUGCCAUGUGUUCAUAAUGUGGAUAAGGUUAAAUUGAAAUUAGAAUGUUGCUGCUUGCUUUACUCAAAUGAGCUCGAACGGUGUUCUUCGUUAAUGUUGUGAUUAUCCAUUUUUGGUAUGUUUAUUCAAUUUGUUUGGAUCAUGACCAAAGGGCCCAGCUAAAUUUUGUGAAGUUUCAAUUUUUUCUUUGGGAUUUUUACCUAUGUAUAUACCAUAUUGCAAACCUUAUUACCUCUCAUGUUUAAGGUUUGUGUUUAUUACAUUUAAGCAUACCAAAUUUCAAUUUAUAUGCCAUAAUUCAAAUUAAGGGUAUAAUUAUUGCUUCAUUUAU